RNAcentral lists this ribosomal RNA (314 nucleotides) under Triticum aestivum (bread wheat). Its description in RNAcentral is "partial small subunit ribosomal RNA". Lineage: Eukaryota; Viridiplantae; Streptophyta; Magnoliopsida; Poales; Poaceae. The record is from RNAcentral.
UGGGUCAGCGGUGAGGGUGGUGGAGCUUCAGCGGCGGUUGGAGGUCGGGUAGGUCGACGACAGGGGUGGUGGCGCUCCGACGGCGGUUGGUGGUCGGGUGGGUCGGCGGCGGGGGUGGUGGUGCUCCGUCGGCAGUUGGAGGUCGGGUGGCGGCGGGGGACGAGGCGUGACGGCGACGGCCACGUGCGGUGGGAGGGAGCGGGAGAUAGGUGAGGAUUGGAUCAGGGAAGUUGGGGAUCGGGGGUGGACGAGAGGGAGGUGGUGGGUGGGCUUUUUUCUUCCGGGUUCGGGAAUUCGGAAACAUCUGAUCGCCG